This 239-nucleotide ribosomal RNA is filed under the name uncultured archaeon. Its description in RNAcentral is "partial 16S ribosomal RNA". It matches the Rfam family "Archaeal small subunit ribosomal RNA", at positions 24 to 267 of the family's 1478-position model. The record is from RNAcentral.
CCGACUGCUAUCAUAGUGGGACUAAGCCAUGCGAGUCGACGCUGCAAAGCGUGGCAUACGGCUCAGUAACACGUAGUCAACAUGCCCAAAGGACGUGGAUAACCUCGGGAAACUGAGGAUAAACCGCGAUAGGUCAAGGUUUCUGGAAUGAGCCAUGGCCGAAAUCUACAUGGCCUUUGGAUUGGACUGCGGCCGAUCAGGCUGUUGGUGAGGUAAUGGCCCACCAAACCUGUAACCGG